UAUUUAACGUUGAAGAGGAUUAGUAGUCAGUAUUAAGUGUUCAGCGAGCGUAUGGUUAGUGAGAAUACGUCUUUAAUACUGAUGAACUCGCCUUUGAGUUUUCGACUGAAUUAAGUAAGUUGGAACGUGAGCCGCGUUAAGGCCAGAGAGUUGUCCAAUUUGUGUUGGGCAGAACUUAGGUGGCAUCGCGGUCAAUUCGUCCUAUGG
Molecule: non-coding RNA, 207 nt
Filed under: Latilactobacillus fuchuensis
Lineage: Bacteria; Bacillati; Bacillota; Bacilli; Lactobacillales; Lactobacillaceae
Description: Lactobacillus fuchuensis T-box sequence
Rfam family: T-box leader
About the family: Uncharged tRNA acts as the effector for transcription antitermination of genes in the T-box leader family. T-boxes are found upstream of many aminoacyl-tRNA synthetase genes and some amino acid biosynthetic genes usually in Gram-positive bacteria.
Source: RNAcentral